GUUAAGAAGGAGUUGAAGUUUGUGCAGGUACAAGUAUGUACUAACCAUCAGCAGUGGCGACAGGCUGUGGUGUGAACGUGAGGCUGCGCUGUGUGUUUGGACUGGUAGCUUGAAGUACACGCCACAGUGCCCAGGCUAAUGCUGCAGGCAUCCAGAGACGCAGUAGCCUUUGCUCCUCUUGCCGUCGGGAUUCUAACCUGCAAGCAAAGCCCUUUUAUUUUGCCAUACAUCUCUAUAUCUAAACGCAGUUUACCUAUUCUGAAGUGGGAAAAGGGGUGGACAUAUAAAUGAAACUGCACAAAUCUGAUCAGGGAAGGAUCCCUUUUUCCCUCUGAAAGAGUUGCUGAUUGGAAUAAAUCAAAUUGAAUGGUGUGAAAACCAAACUACAUAUGUGAAGUAAAACUUUACAGUGAUCUGCUCAGUCCAGUAGAAAAAGAACAAAAUUACAGAAUUCACUAUAUUUUCUCUUGAAGAAAAUGAAACAUUAUGGAAACAUCAUCUUGAAAGAAGGAGUGUAGGCAGAAUCCCACAUCGAGCCAUGCUAUACCAACCAAGAGAAAGAAGGGGCAUAGGAAGACCCAGAAUGAGAUAGUAAUGAAAAAUGAAGACUGAACAGUAACAAGAGCCUAAACCUUGAAGUGCAGAAGGAGAACACUGUAUUUGAUCACUGUAAAAUGUAAUAAUGGUUUUUUAGCUAGUUCACUCUUUGUGACAAAUGUUUAUGUAUAUCCACUUAUUGCCAUUAUUCUAUGGCUUUUACAAGCUUUCCCAGUUUUUAGGUAAUGUAAACAUUAAUUCUUCUUAUCUUCCUAAAAGA
Molecule: long non-coding RNA, 817 nt
Organism: Schistocerca americana (American grasshopper)
Lineage: Eukaryota; Metazoa; Arthropoda; Insecta; Orthoptera; Acrididae
Exons: 4
Source: RefSeq, a predicted model, not a curated record